This 489-nucleotide ribosomal RNA is filed under the name uncultured bacterium. RNAcentral's name for it is "bacterial SSU rRNA". It matches the Rfam family "Bacterial small subunit ribosomal RNA", at positions 374 to 857 of the family's 1533-position model. The record is from RNAcentral.
GGGGCAACCCUGAUCCAGCCAUGCCGCGUGUGUGAAGAAGGCCUUCGGGUUGUAAAGCACUUUCAGCUGUGAGGAAAGGCGAGUGGUUAAUACCCGCUUGCUGUGACGUUAACAGCAGAAGAAGGACCGGCUAACUCCGUGCCAGCAGCCGCGGUAAUAAGGAGGGUCCGAGCGUUAAUCGGAAUUACUGGGCGUAAAGCGCGCGUAGGUGGUUCAGUCAGUCAUAUGUGAAAGCCCCGGGCUCAACCUCGGAAAAGCACCUGAUAAUGCUGAGCUUGAGUACUGUAGAGGGUAGUGGAAUAUCUGGUGUAGCGGUGAAAUGAGUAGAGAUUGGAAGGAACACCAGCGGCGAAGGAGGCUACCUGGACCGACACUGACGACGAGGUGCGAAAGCGUGGGUAGCAAACAGCAUGAGAUACCCUGGUAGUCCACCCCGUAAUCGAUGUCAACUAGCCGUGGGGGACUCGUCCUCAGUGACGCAAGCUAACG